This 546-nucleotide ribosomal RNA is filed under the name uncultured bacterium. Its description in RNAcentral is "bacterial SSU rRNA". It matches the Rfam family "Bacterial small subunit ribosomal RNA", at positions 774 to 1324 of the family's 1533-position model. The record is from RNAcentral.
AGUGAAUAGAUACCCGGGUAGUCCACGCCCUAAACGAUGAGUACUGGUUGUUUGAAGUAUCGACCCUUCAAAGUGACGAAAGCUAAACGCGUUAAGUACUCCGCCUGGGGAGUACGGUCGCAAGACUAAAACUCAAAGGAAUAGACGGGAGCUUGCACAAGCGGUGGAGCGUCUGGUUUAAUUCGACGACAAGCGAAGAACCUUACCAAGACUUGAAAUCCUAGUGAAACCCCGCGGAAACGUGGGACUUCUACAAGGACACUAGGACAGGUGCUGCAUGGUUGUCGUCAGCUUGUGGCGUGAGUUGCUCCGUUAAGUCGGGUAACAAGCGCAACCCCCAUUUCGUGUUACAAGUGUCACGAGAGACUGCCAAGUUUUUCUUGGAGGAAGGUGGGGAUGACGCCAAAUCAGCAUGGCCCUCUGAUGUCUUGGGCAACACAGGCGCUACAAUGGCCGAUACAAUGGGUCGCUAAGUCGCAAGAUGGAGCCAAUCCCAUUCAAAGUCGGUCUCAGUUCGGAUUGAGGUCUGCAAUUCGACCUCAUGAA